Molecule: ribosomal RNA, 420 nt
Filed under: uncultured archaeon
Lineage: Archaea
Description: partial 16S ribosomal RNA
Rfam family: Archaeal small subunit ribosomal RNA
Source: RNAcentral
CUACGGGCUGCUCCAGUUAGGAAUAAUCUGCAAUGCGCGCAAGCGUGACAGUUUGAGCCAGAGUGUCUGUCAAUGACAGACUUUUGCCAAAUGUAAAAAGUUUGGCGAAUAAGGACUGGGUAAGACUAGUGCCAGCCGCCGCGGUAAUACUAGCGGUCCAAGUCGCAGCCAUAUUUAUUGGGUCUAAAACAUCCGUAGCUUGUUGAAUAAGUUUUCUGUGAAAUUUUGGGGCUUAAGCUCGAAGCGAGCAGAAAGUACUGUUCAACUAGAGACUGGAAGACGGAAGAAGUACGUUUGAAGUAGCGGUAAAAUGCUUUAAUCUCGGACGGACUAACAAUAGCGAAGGCAUCUUCCGAGAACAGUUCUGACAGUAAGGGAUGAAGGCUAGGGGCGCAAAACGGAUUAGAUACCCUGGUAGUC